CUCUGGAAGAUUACCAGAAAUCGGUGGACUCCAAAAGACCCGAAACUUCACGAAGAAUUCUGAUGGAAUAUACAAGAAUUAUUGGGCCAAAAAAUAUACCAAAGGGGGCCACAAGCCAAUAUGGCGCGCUGUAAGUGCAUCGAGUGCCCCUUAGUGAUUUUGGUGGUUUGAAGACUUAUAGGUUAAGUAUCUAAUGUGUUUAUG
Molecule: long non-coding RNA, 204 nt
Filed under: Hordeum vulgare
Lineage: Eukaryota; Viridiplantae; Streptophyta; Magnoliopsida; Poales; Poaceae
Description: long non-coding RNA (HVUL_LNC016450)
Source: RNAcentral